UACGUAGGUUGCGAGCGUUAUUCGGAUUUACUGGGCGUAAAGCGCACCGAGGUGGUAUCUUAAGUUGGAUGUAAAAUCUCCUGGCUUAACUGGGAGGCGCCAUUCAAAACUGAGAUACUUGAGGUCAGCAGGGGAAAGUGGAAUUCCCGGUGUAGUGGUGGAAUGCGUAGAGAUCGGGAGGAACACCAGUGGCGAAAGCGGCUUUCUGGGCUGCACCUGACACUCUAGUGCGAAAGCGUGGGGAGCAAACAGG
Molecule: ribosomal RNA, 253 nt
Filed under: uncultured Caldilinea sp.
Lineage: Bacteria; Bacillati; Chloroflexota; Caldilineae; Caldilineales; Caldilineaceae
Description: partial 16S ribosomal RNA
Rfam family: Bacterial small subunit ribosomal RNA
Source: RNAcentral